Long non-coding RNA from Daucus carota subsp. sativus, 600 nucleotides. RefSeq lists it as uncharacterized. NCBI's taxonomy places the organism in Eukaryota, Viridiplantae, Streptophyta, Magnoliopsida, Apiales, Apiaceae. The record is from RefSeq and is a predicted model, not a curated record. The transcript is spliced from 2 exons.
GUUCGGUUCAAAACCGAACUGAACCGAAAUAACCGAAAACCGAAAUGCCAAUAUUUUAUUAAACCGAACCGAACCGAAUUAUCUAUUAAACCGAACCGAAACCGAACCGAAAUAAUUCGGUUAAUUCGGUUUCGGUUAUGAAAAAACCGAAUUUAGAAACUUGUGCGUGGCCAGAACUGAACAGAAUGAAAAAAAAUAAUUAGAAACUAGAUCAAUUUAGAAGAAGAGGAAAACACACACUUAUCAAGCAUCCAGGAGGUUAUUAGCCUUGUGUUUUUCACACCUAUCUGUAAAAUUACAUCAGUGUGAUGAUUACGUAUUGCUUGGAUAUUGGCUCAUAAAGGAGUCCGGCGUUGGUGUGUUGCCGGAGUGGUGGUGAAGAGGGCGGCAAUGACGCUGCAUCUGGAGGUCGAGGGGGGCUAUGAGAGAGAUGAAGAAGGCUGGGCUCGGUGGUUUCCGGCGCCGCGACAUGGCUGUUGGCCGGAAUUGAUUCUAGCAGCGGCGCCGUGAUCUGAUGGAAAGGGCAGAGGCAUUGUGCAAUUAGAUUAGGGUUAUGUUCUGUAUCGGAUUAUUCUAUUAACUAUUUCUAUAUUAUUAUUA